AUACGGAGGAUCCGAGCGUUAUCCGGAUUUAUUGGGUUUAAAGGGAGCGCAGGCGGAGAUGCAAGCGUGACGUCAAAUUUCGGGGCUCAACCCCGUCUCGCGUCGCGAACUGCGUCCCUUGGUUGCGGGAAGGGGAGGCGGAACUCGUGGUGUAGCGGUGAAAUGCAUAGAUAUCACGAAGAACUCCGAUCGCGAAGGCAGCCUUCCGGCCCGUCAACGACGCUCAGGCUCGAAGGUGCGGGUAUCAAACAGGAUUAGAUACCCUGGUAGUCCGCACAGUAAACGAUGGACACCCGCGGUUUGGCCUGUAUGGCUGAGCCGCCAAGCGAAAGCGUUAAGUGUCCCACCUGGGGAGUACGCCGGCAACGGUGAAACUCAAAGGAAUUGACGGGG
This 393-nucleotide ribosomal RNA is filed under the name uncultured bacterium. RNAcentral describes it as "partial 16S ribosomal RNA". It matches the Rfam family "Bacterial small subunit ribosomal RNA", at positions 523 to 918 of the family's 1533-position model. The record is from RNAcentral.